RNAcentral lists this ribosomal RNA (440 nucleotides) under uncultured bacterium. RNAcentral describes it as "partial 16S ribosomal RNA". It matches the Rfam family "Bacterial small subunit ribosomal RNA", at positions 338 to 795 of the family's 1533-position model. The record is from RNAcentral.
CCUACGGGAGGCAGCAAUGGGGGAUAUUGCACAAUGGGGGAAACCCUGAUGCAGCGACGCCGCGUGGGUGAAGAAGCGCCUCGGCGCGUAAAGCCCUGUCAGCAGGGAAGAAAAUGACGGUACCUGAAGAAGAAGCCCCGGCUAACUACGUGCCAGCAGCCGCGGUAAUACGUAGGGGGCAAGCGUUAUCCGGAUUUACUGGGUGUAAAGGGGGCGCAGACGGCGAUGCAAGCCAGGAGUGAAAGCCCGGGGCCCAACCCCGGGAAUGCUCUUGGAAAUGCGUGGCGAGAGUGCAGGAGGGGCAGGCGGAAUUCCUGGUGUAGCGGUGAAAUGCGUAGAUAUCAGGAGGAACACCGGUGGCGAAGGCGGCCUGCUGGACUGCAACUGACGUUGAGGCCCGAAAGCGUGGGGAGCAAACAGGAUUAGAUACCCGAGUAGUC